Molecule: ribosomal RNA, 204 nt
Filed under: Triticum aestivum (bread wheat)
Lineage: Eukaryota; Viridiplantae; Streptophyta; Magnoliopsida; Poales; Poaceae
Description: partial small subunit ribosomal RNA
Source: RNAcentral
AUGACCAUGCUCGCCACGUUUGAGCUCCUCAAGCAUGCCCCCAAGCUUGUUGAGAAUGGCAAGAAGACGCUUAUUCUCCAUGGUACAAAGACUCGCGCAGUUUUGAACUCCAUGCUGUCAGAUCUUUUUCACCUGAAGCAUGAUCAUUCUGUGAAGUACGCCAAGAAUAAUGACAACAUGAAACCAUUUGAGAGUGGGGGUUAA